Molecule: ribosomal RNA, 1378 nt
Filed under: Coleophora therinella
Lineage: Eukaryota; Metazoa; Arthropoda; Insecta; Lepidoptera; Coleophoridae
Description: 16S ribosomal RNA
Source: RNAcentral
GGGGGAAAAAUUAAAAAAAAAAAAUUAAUAAAAAUAAUUUUAAAUAAAAAAUAAUUUAAGGGGGGUUAAAGUAUUUUUUAGGGAAAAAAUUAUAAAUUUUAUAAUAAAUUAGUAUUGUUAAAGAAAUUUGAAAUAAUAGUGAAAAUUUAAUUUAAAAAGAAGUAAUUUUAGUUAAUGUAUCUUGUGUAUCCGAGUUUAUUAAUAAAUAAAUUUUAAUUAAAAAAUUCUCGAAUUUAAAAGAGAUAAUUAAUUAUAAAAGUUAUUGUUUCAAAAAUAUUUUAAAUAAUUAAUUGGAAAUGAAAUGUUAAUCGUUUUUAAAUAUAUCUAGUUUUUUUAGAAAUAAAUUUAAUUUAUAAUUUAAAUAUAAUUAAAAUUAAAUAUUUAAUUUUAAUUAUAUUUAAAUUAAAUAAUUUAAGGGAUAAGCUUUAAAUUAAAUUUUUAUAAUAAUUUUAAAAAAAAAUAAAAAUUUUAAAAUUUAUAUUGUUUAAAAAUUUUAAUUUUUUAAAAAUAAUUUUAUUAAAAAAAAAAUUUAAUUUAUGUUUAUUUAAUUUUUUAUAAGAAAAUAAUUUUUAAUAUAAUAAAAUUAGUAAUAAUGAUAAAAUUAGUAUAAAAAAAAAUUAAUUAAAUUUAAAUUUUUUAAAAUUAAUUAAAAGGAAUUCGGCAAAUAAAAAUAUAUUCACUUGUUUAUCAAAAACAUGUCUUUUUGAGUUUAAUUUAAAGUCUAAUCUGCCCACUGAUAUAUAAUAUUAAAGGGCUGCAGUAUAUUGACUGUACAAAGGUAGCAUAAUCAUUAGUCUCUUAAUUGGUGACUUGUAUGAAGGAUUGGAUGAAAUAUAAACUGUCUCUUAAUUAAAUUUAGAAUUUAAUUUUUUAGUUAAAAAGCUAAAAUUUAUUUAAAAGACGAGAAGACCCUAUAGAGUUUUAUAAAUUUUUUAAUUAAAGUUUAUUUAUUAAUAAUUAAAUUAAAAUUAUAAUAUUUAUUUUAUUGGGGUGAUAAAAAAAUUAAUAAAACUUUUUUUAAUAAUAAAAAUAAACUUGAAUAAAAGAAUAAAUGAUCCAGAAUUUUUGAUUAUAAGAAUAAAUUACCUUAGGGAUAACAGCGUAAUUUUUUUUUUUAGUUCAAAUAAAAAAGAAAGUUUGCGACCUCGAUGUUGGAUUAAGAUAAAAUUUUAAUGCAAAAGUUAAAAAUUUUGAUCUGUUCGAUCAUUAAAAUCUUACAUGAUCUGAGUUCAAACCGGUGUAAGCCAGGUUGGUUUCUAUCUUUAAUAAAAAGGAAUAUUUUAGUACGAAAGGAUCAAAUAUUUAAAAUAAUUUUAAAGAGGGAAUAUUAUUAAUAAAAUAUUAAAAAAUAUAUUUAAAAAUAGUUAGAUAAUUAAUA